RNAcentral lists this transfer RNA (74 nucleotides) under Mesobuthus eupeus (lesser Asian scorpion). RNAcentral's name for it is "tRNA-His". The record is from RNAcentral. Lineage: Eukaryota; Metazoa; Arthropoda; Arachnida; Scorpiones; Buthidae.
AUCUUAGUAGUUUAUAUUUCUAAAACCUUAAUUUGUGGAAUUAAAAAAGACCUAAGAUUUUGUCCCUUUUUAAA